UACGUAGGGUGCGAGCGUUGUCCGGAAUUACUGGGCGUAAAGAGCUCGUAGGUGGUUUGUCGCGUUGUCCGUGAAAACUCACAACUCAAUUGUGGGCGUGCGGGCGAUACGGGCAGACUGGAGUACUGCAGGGGAGACUGGAAUUCCUGGUGUAGCGGUGGAAUGCGCAGAUAUCAGGAGGAAUACCCGUGGCGAAGGCGGGUCUCUGGGCAGUAACUGACGCUGAGGAGCGAAAGCGUGGGGAGCGAACAGG
This 253-nucleotide ribosomal RNA is filed under the name uncultured bacterium. RNAcentral describes it as "partial 16S ribosomal RNA". It matches the Rfam family "Bacterial small subunit ribosomal RNA", at positions 524 to 776 of the family's 1533-position model. The record is from RNAcentral.